CACGAGUUUGAUCCUGGCUCAGACGAACGCUGGCGGCAGGCCUAACACAUGCAAGUCGAGCGGGGGAGCAAUCCCUAGCGGCGGACGGGUUAGUAACGCGUGGGAACAUACCCUUUGGUACGGAAUAGCCUCGGGAAACUGAGAGUAAUACCGUAUGUGCCCUUCGGGGGAAAGAUUUAUCGCCAAAGGAUUGGCCCGCGUUGGAUUAGGUAGUUGGUGGGGUAAUGGCCUACCAAGCCUACGAUCCAUAGCUGGUUUGAGAGGAUGAUCAGCAACACUGGGACUGAGACACGGCCCAGACUCCUACGGGAGGCAGCAGUGGGGAAUCUUAGACAAUGGGCGCAAGCCUGAUCUAGCCAUGCCGCGUGAGCGAUGAAGGCCUUAGGGUUGUAAAGCUCUUUCAGAUGGGAAGAUAAUGACGGUACCAUCAGAAGAAGCCCCGGCUAACUCCGUG
This 454-nucleotide ribosomal RNA is filed under the name uncultured bacterium. RNAcentral describes it as "bacterial SSU rRNA". It matches the Rfam family "Bacterial small subunit ribosomal RNA", at positions 1 to 507 of the family's 1533-position model. The record is from RNAcentral.